This 378-nucleotide unclassified non-coding RNA is filed under the name plant metagenome. RNAcentral describes it as "partial contains 5.8S ribosomal RNA, internal transcribed spacer 2, and large subunit ribosomal RNA". The stretch from base 1 to 105 matches the Rfam family "5.8S ribosomal RNA", at positions 50 to 154 of the family's 154-position model. The record is from RNAcentral.
GAAAUGCGAUAAGUAAUGUGAAUUGCAGAAUUCAGUGAAUCAUCGAAUCUUUGAACGCACCUUGCGCUCCUUGGUAUUCCUUGGAGCAUGCCUGUUUGAGUAUCAUGAAAUCUUCAAAGUAAAUCUUUUGUUAACUCAAUUGGUUUCUACUUUGGUAUUGGAGGUCUUUGCAGCUUCACACCUGCUCCUCUUUGUUCAUUAGCUGGAUCUCAGUGUUAUGCUUGGUUCCACUCGGCGUGAUAAGUUAUCUAUCGCUGAGGACACUGUAAAAGGUGGCCAAGGUAAAUGCAGAUGAACCGCUUCUAAUAGUCCAUUGACUUGGACAAUACUUUUAUGAUCUGAUCUCAAAUCAGGUAGGACUUCCCGCUGAACUUAAGC